This is a long non-coding RNA of Equus caballus (horse), 1027 nucleotides long. RefSeq lists it as uncharacterized. NCBI's taxonomy places the organism in Eukaryota, Metazoa, Chordata, Mammalia, Perissodactyla, Equidae. The record is from RefSeq and is a predicted model, not a curated record.
CAGGGUUAAAAAAACUUUUUAUCAGCCAGAGGUUAAUGCAAGUGUUUAGCAGAUGCUUCACAAUUAAAAUAUUUUUUCCCUUCAAGUCUUAAAUAUUGAAGAAUCUCAAACCAGGGACACCAGCCCCAACGAAACACCUUGGGCGAUUUCAAAGCGCAGGCACCUCGAUUCCCCGAAUUUGUGGUGUGGCCGGUAUCGGUGUUCCCUUGGUUUAACUAGCCUGUCUGAAGGCGAAGAUCAUACUUGGGCAAGUACAACCGAAACCAGUCCUCCCCUGGCCCCUCCACCCCAAGGGUCUUCAUUUUCCCAAUCUACAUCUGCCUGUGACUCCAGAAAGACAAGCUUCAGAUUGGCCAAGUCCUUUCUGGCCCAAGUCCGGAGCUCUGGAAGGUCAAAGUCUAGCUGCUGGUGUCAUCUCCAAGCCCUUGGUUGUCAAUCCUGAGACAGAUUGGAAUUUCCGCUCAAGGCUUGAUCAACUCACAAUUCUCCAAGUUGGAGGUGCAUCCGGGAGAUGGCAGCAGGUGGUGAAAGUGUGACCCCCACUUUGUCUCCAGGCCCAGCUUAAAUUCCACCUCCUCCAGGAAGCCUUUCCAGCGACUGGAGCUAGUAGAGGAGUUGGACGUCUUCCAUUAGGCAACAGAACUUCAUCUCCACGCCCUAGAGAGAAGCAGGGAAGGCUUCCUCCGGAUGGAUCGCGCUUGCAAGGGGUCUCCGUCAGCCGUCGUUGGAUCCGAGCGUGGGACACCCAGCCCCAGCCUGGCCUUCCCGGGUCGCCCCUCUCCACGUCCUGAGCUCCCGAGUCAGAGCUGGGCAGGGCGGACUCUGGGCUUCCCACGGACUGGCUGCGCGACCUCGGACAAGCUCCUCGGUCUCUCUAAGCCUUAGUUUCCCCAUCUGAACAGUGGGGAAUGACACCGACCUCGAGAGUGUGCAGGGAAGGUUAAACGAGAUGAAGGUGCACGAAAGAUCGAGACGCCUGACGCACAGGCUGCGCUCAAUAAAUGUUUAUGCAUUUUCUCUUCCCGUC